Molecule: ribosomal RNA, 895 nt
Filed under: Myxococcales bacterium
Lineage: Bacteria; Pseudomonadati; Myxococcota; Myxococcia; Myxococcales
Description: partial 23S ribosomal RNA
Rfam family: Bacterial large subunit ribosomal RNA
Source: RNAcentral
GAACACGCUACGAAGAGCAAGUGGUGGAUGCCUUGGCAUCGAGAGGCGACGAAGGACGUGAUUAACUGCGAUAAGCCACGGGGAGUUGUACGUAAGCGUCGAUCCGUGGAUCUCCGAAUCGGGAAACCGAACGGCCUAAACAGCCGUUGCUAAGCGCGAACGCAGGGAACUGAAACAUCUAAGUACCUGCAGGAGUAGAAAUCAACCGAGAUUCCCCAAGUAGCGGCGAGCGAACGGGGAACAGCCCAAACCCACCAGUGUGUAAGCGGCAGGCGUUGCCUGGUAGGGGGUUGCGGGAAAGAGUCGGGUAAUCUGCAUGAGCCCGGGAAGUUCUAAAAAACUGUGUGGUAGCAGAACAUAUUGGAAAAGUGGCCACAGCGGGUGAUAGCCCCGUAUGCAAAACUACACAGUCUUCCAUUCUUAUCCCAAGUACGGCGGGACACGUGAAACCCUGUCGGAAUCUGGGGGGCCCACCCUCCAAGGCUAAAUACUACUCGAUGACCGAUAGUGAACCAGUACCGUGAGGGAAAGGCGAAAAGAACCCCGAUAAGGGGAGUGAAAUAGAUACUGAAACCGCUUGCUUACAAGCUCCAGAAGCACUACGCGCAAGCAGUGUGACUGGGUGCCUUUUGCAUAAUGAGUCCGCGAGUUGCUCUGUGUGGCAAGGUUAAGCCGUGAGGUGGAGCCGAAGCGAAAGCGAGUCUGAAAAUGGCGAAUUAGUCGCAUGGAGCAGACCCGAAACCUUGUGAUCUAUCCAUGGCCAGGCUGAAGUCGAGGUAACACGAGAUGGAGGGCCGAACCCACUGACGUUGAAAAGUCAAGGGAUGAGCUGUGGAUCGGAGUGAAAGGCUAAUCAAACUGGGAGAUAGCUGGUUCUCCCCGAAACAUAUUUAGG